AUUGAACGCUGGCGGCAGGCCUAACACAUGCAAGUCGAGCGGAUGAAGGGAGCUUGCUCCUGGAUUCAGCGGCGGACGGGUGAGUAAUGCCUAGGAAUCUGCCUGGUAGUGGGGGAUAACGUCCGGAAACGGGCGCUAAUACCGCAUACGUCCUGAGGGAGAAAGUGGGGGAUCUUCGGACCUCACGCUAUCAGAUGAGCCUAGGUCGGAUUAGCUAGUUGGUGGGGUAAAGGCCUACCAAGGCGACGAUCCGUAACUGGUCUGAGAGGAUGAUCAGUCACACUCGAACUGAGACACGGUCCAGACUCCUACGGGAGGCAGCAGUGGGGAAUAUUGGACAAUGGGCGAAAGCCUGAUCCAGCCAUGCCGCGUGUGUGAAGAAGGUCUUCGGAUCGUAAAGCACUUUAAGUUGGGAGGAAGGGCAGUAAGUUAAUACCUUGCUGUUUUGACGUUACCAACAGAAUAAGCACCGGCUAACUUCGUG
RNAcentral lists this ribosomal RNA (484 nucleotides) under uncultured bacterium. RNAcentral describes it as "partial 16S ribosomal RNA". It matches the Rfam family "Bacterial small subunit ribosomal RNA", at positions 30 to 507 of the family's 1533-position model. The record is from RNAcentral.